Non-coding RNA from Sus scrofa (pig), 1013 nucleotides. Lineage: Eukaryota; Metazoa; Chordata; Mammalia; Artiodactyla; Suidae. The record is from RefSeq and is a predicted model, not a curated record.
CCCCCUACCGGCUUGGGGUGGCAUCCCCAGGUCCGAGAUUGAACUCGAGCCACAGCAGCGCCUCAAGCUACAGCAGUGACAACGCUGGAUCCUUAACCCGCUGAGUCACCAGGGAACUCCAUGACUGCAGUUUUACGCUUAGAUCCUUUUCGCGUCCCCUCACAGAAGCAUUCUCCCCCUAGAGCCAGGCUCUCAAACCCCCCAGAGCCCAAGCUUGUAGGGCAGGGAGCACAUGUUCCCCACAUGGGUCUCUUGGGUUGACGGCAGUGGAGCCACUCCUGCUACCCUACCUUGGACCCUAGACCCAUGCAUCUGUCUCCUGGGACAAAGCCCGGUGUAACACUGUUGGCUCAUGCUGUGCCCUGCAUCCUGAAGAGAUGGGGCAUCCUUUCAGGUGUCCUGCGCUGGAAAUGCCCUGCGUUUUAGAGGGCCUCAUUGGCACCCUGGGCCGCUGAGUCCCGGUGUUGUCUCAGGCGCCCUUCUCCAAACGUUUAUCAGCGUCUCACUCCCAAGUCGGCUGGUACUCGGGCGCGUGACGGGAGUCCCUUUGGAGGGAACUGGGGGCAUCGCUGCAGCGAACACUCGGUCUGCAGUCUCCGCCGAGUUUAAUUUGGGCCUCACUUUCUGCUGAGCUUUUGCUGUGCUAGGAGUGUAGGAGGUGCGUCCGGGCCCCUCAGCGGGAUUAAGCGCUGUGCCCUGGGCAGAGCCCCAUGGGCACGCUCAGCCAGCCGGGGUUCCAUCCCCCUCUGCCCGGCACAGCUGCUCGGGGUGUUCGGUCCCCGCCCUUGAGUAGGACCAGCAGGCCCCAGUUGUGCCACGUUGAGGUUUGACCCCAGGAAGGAGUCUUGUGGCCGGGAGGGAGGGACAGGAGGCGGGGGCGGAUCCCAGGCAGACAGGCGUUGUCAUGAAAGGCGCCUGUCCCAGUGAGGCCUGCGUGUCAUUUCUAAGAAUAGUGUGUGUGUGUGUGUGGGGGGGGUGCCUCGGGUGCCCCCCCCCCCCAAAAAAGGUAGAAA